AUGAACGCUAGCGUACAGGCUAACACAUGCAAGUCGAGGGGCAGCACAAGGAGCAAUCUGAGGUGGCGACCGGCGCACGGGUGAGUAACACGUAUGCAACCUGCCUGUAAGCGGGGAAUAACCCGUUGAAAGACGGACUAAUACCGCAUAAUACUAAAUUACUGCAUGGUAAUUAUUUAAACAUUUAUGGCUUACAGAUGGGCAUGCGCAUGAUUAGCUAGUUGGAGAGGUAACGGCUCCCCAAGGCAACGAUCAUUAGGGGUUCUGAGAGGAAGGUCCCCACACUGGUACUGAGACACGGACCAGACUCCUACGGGAGGCAGCAGUGAGGAAUAUUGGUCAAUGGACGAGAGUCUGAACCAGCCAAGUCGCGUGCAGGAAGAAUGUCCUAUUGGAUUGUAAACUGCUUUUGCAGGGGAAUAAAGUGCAUCACGUGUGAUGUUUUGUAUGUACUCUGCGAAUAAGGAUCGGCUAACUCCGUGCCAGCAGCUGC
Molecule: ribosomal RNA, 493 nt
Filed under: uncultured bacterium
Lineage: Bacteria
Description: bacterial SSU rRNA
Rfam family: Bacterial small subunit ribosomal RNA
Source: RNAcentral